UCAGAUCCUCUUCAAAUCAUGUGAGAUAUAGGAAAUUCUCAUUUUUCCAUGUUUUUACCUGCACAAAAAACAACGUAAGGCAUGUCCAGACAUGUGAGAUCAAUUCAGUAUAGAUGUCUGUGUGAGGGGAAUACUAACAAAGAAAGGCCCAAUAUUUUCAUGGAUAAUGAAGCCCAACAAGGUAACCUAGAGAUGAGAACCAAACUGGAUGAUAGAGAAUUGUUUUUAGUGUAAUUUACCCUUAACAUGGUGGGUGCUUAGUAAAAGCUAACAUAGGAGGAAGGUUAAUAUAUCAGGCAGCAGGGGUAACAGUCCAUCAGACAUCUUGUGCAGAUUGCAGCGAUACAUUUUAACAUCAUAAGACUAGAAAAAAACAAGCAGGAGCUGAAUACAAAACCAGAGGAUAUGACAAACAGAAGGUUCGCUGUCAGUCACCCUCCCUCACAGUCACUUCUUCUGUCUACAUUUGUCCAAACAUGAUGGUUUUCAAUCAUGCAGACAAAACUCUUCAGACAACAGCCGUCCUCUUUUGUGUCGGACUUGAGAGUCAGAAUUAGUGAACCAUUUUCCCUCCAGAUUCAACUCAGCUCAGUUUAGGGCUUAAUCAAGUGGAAAUUAGGAAUAGGGGGUUGUGGGGGUGGUCAGGGUUGGGGUGCAGGGGAGAAUGGAGCAAUUGUUCAGAUAAAGGCCCCAUGUUGAGUCAGCUUUGAUGUUUCUCUAGGGGGAUAUGCCUGGAUUUUACAGUAGCAUUUCUCUACAUUACUGUUUGCUCUCUGCUGGCAAUAGCUGCAGGCUGCAAAGAUUAAACUGAAUGGGGUUCAGCGUUGAGCAAUCUCUGCUAUAUUUGCUUUAACUUGUCCUGAAGUUUUGUGGUUAACUUUCCCAAAGCAAUGUCACAUUUUGCAUCGGUAUUUCUUAUCUGCACCCCCUCUGCAUGGACACCCAACAAUAUCAACAUUCAAGUGAGAUUCCCCUUCGUUUGCCCCUCGCCUAUACAAGCAGACAGGCUCCCACUGAUCUAUUAUGUUGCAAAGCCUUUCUCAUGCAUGUCUUGAAUGAAAGCCAGCGUAUCGAUGGUCUGAGGAUAAUCACGUUUUCCUGAGGCAGGCUUAGCAGCACUAAAUAAGCCGCACAGAAGGGAAAUGGUGGGACAGACAAAACUGUUGUGGGAGAAAGCGAAGAGAUUGUUUUUCUCCUUAAAGUUCAACACACAGAUAUAUAAAAAAAGAGAUGAAUGUACAAAGAAAAAAACAGGAAAAAUUUCUCUUGCAUGUGAAAGAUCGUUGUAUAUAUGCACACAUUUGUUACGAUAGGACCUACUUGGUGAUGCUCUAUUAUAAACAGCGUACAUUUCCUACCUCUCUGUCUUCCUCCUCAGCAGGUGCACUUGGCACACUUUGGAGAUGCUACAGUAUUCCGUCUCUAGAAGCUGUCUCUUUUCCGCUUUUCCACUUGUUGCUGAAUCAAUGGAGCAUCCACGUGAAAUCCUUACUCCUCGACUCUUUCCAAAACACGGCGACCGACCAAACAGGCAACCCAAAGUUGCUCAGAAGUGCUCUGUUGUUACUCACUUUGCGGGGAAGUUGUUGGUAGUUGACAAGAGUUUGGUGCAGGUUCUCUCUGAGGCGCACAAAGUGGAUAUUUGCAUUAGGCUGACCCUCCCCUCGCCUUUCAUAGCUGCCAUUGUUUGUCCCAGUCGGAGCUCGGAUUCAGUCCUUCCCUAAAUCCCUGACGACCGAAGCAGGGAAUGCUGCUCUCUCCGAGUCUGGCAAUUAACAAAAGCGCGUCGACACAAUGAAGACGAUUAAUUUAAUAGUAACGAGACGUUCACAUUUGAGUGAAAAAACAAACAAGCAUAACUAAGAUUGGGCACACAUCUUUGGAGAAGUGACUCUGUCGCCAACGUUUAACUUGAAUGACAGGUUGAAGGCAGGUAGGCUCGACGCGUUUACGUAUGGUCACGUGUCACAGGUACGUUUAGGACAGUGACAGCCUAACUUGAUCUGUAAUGAUGACAACGUUAGAUAUAAUGGCUGCGUUUGCAAGCAAAUGAUAAUUUCAGCAUUGAUUUUCUUACACUUUCUUAAAAACAAUAAAAUAAAAGAACCCUUGUGACAGCAUUAACAUUGAGAAAAACUUUGUUGUUGCAAUUAUUAUUAUUAUUAUUAUUAUUAUUAUUAUUAUUAUUAUUAUUAUUAUUAUUAUUAUUAUUAUCGUCAUCAUCAUUAUUUAUUAUUGUCAUUUAUAAUAAUAAUAAUAAUAAUAAUAAUAAUAAUAACCAUGAUGAUUAUUAUUGAUAUUAUUAUUAUUAUUAUUAUUGUUGUUGUCAUUUAUUAUAAUAAUUAUUAUCAUCAUUAUUAGUAGUAUUUUUAUCGCUUAUUAUUGUUGUUAUUAUUAUUACCACUUAUUACUUUUACAAUUAUUGUUAUUUAUCAUUAUUAUUUUAUCACUUAUUUUUAUUAUUAUUAUUAUUAUUAUUAUUAUUAUUAUUAUUAUUAUUAUCAUCGUCACAUAUUAUAUUAUUAUUAAUAUUAUUAUCGUCACAUAUUAUAUUAUUAUUAUUAUUAUUAUUAUUAUUAUUACUGAUUUAAAAACCUGCAGCUAGAAUUUAAAUCAAUACAUAAUCAUCUUUAGCUAGACAUUCUCAUACAGCCUAUUUUUAUCUCUAAAAUGAUAUGAAGGCAAAGGUGUCAUGAUUUUGUCUUUGAGGAUUGUGAAGGAACCCAGGUGCAGGUAGCGAAGGCAGAAGUUUUAAGUGAUUUUAUAAACAACAGACAGUUGUAGGAGGGUGAUGUGAGGUCCAAGGAGUGGAGGAAAUCCGCGGUGGCAGUGUGUGGGACUAGGGAGACCGCAGGUGAGUGACUCUGAGUGGACAGUGUGGAGACGUGACAGAGGUUGGGCAGACACUGGCGGAGACACUGGAGGAGAGCGUGGAUUAGUCACAGGCACAAACAUACGCAGGGAAACCUCAAACUUGUUAAUACUCGCUAGAAACUGGUUGAGAUACCACAGUAGAUAUGGGAAUAAUCUGCCAACGAGCAGUCUCAGUGCAGAGCUUUAAAGCAGGUGGUGAUAAGGUUGAUCAGGUGCAGGUGUGGAAGUGUAGGAGGAGCUUGAGCUGAUGAGGAGCCGCCCAUCCCAUGUGGGAAGGGAAGAGGGAGACUCCACAUUCACAAACGACUCCACAGCGCCCUCAUGUGUUAAAACCACAGUAAUCAUGACAAAAGGCCCUUUCGAAUACUAGCAGGAUUAAACCACUUGAACCACUUAGCCUACCCGUUGCAUUGUGAUAUGGCAGAUAUUAAAACCAGGGCUUGUUAACCACAACGUAUCCUACUCAAUGGCUCAGCAAUUUUAAGCAACCUAACCCUUAGCAAAAAGUAGUUCAUUCAAGUCUACAAUGAGUAUACUUACUUUAUACUAAAACUAUGGAAGUAUACUUGAAGUUGACUUUUUAUCAACUAUAUUUUAUAUACUUAAGAAUAGUACGAUGAAGUAUACGUCGCUUAUACUGAAAAGUGUAA
RNAcentral lists this long non-coding RNA (3524 nucleotides) under Xyrichtys novacula (pearly razorfish). The record is from RNAcentral. Lineage: Eukaryota; Metazoa; Chordata; Actinopteri; Labriformes; Labridae.